AGUACAUAAAAGUCAUUUCUUAACUACUAUAAUCCACACAUACAUUUCUGUUCUUAUCUAUUUCUAUAAUGUUUGAAAACUCUGCAUAAACUACACAGUUAAUUGUUUCAGUCAAUGCGUUCUCGAAUCUUACUUCCAUUCUCACACUACCAUGACGAAUGAGAUUCCAGUGAAUAUUAGAGUUAGCUGAUAAGUCGGGGGUUAAAUCAAAGGCUAGUAAACAGUAUCCAUCUGAGUAUUGCUCCCUCGAUAUCCCAUUACCUUCGUUAAGAAAAUGUAUACCGGUACCUGAGUACCGGUCUUAAGCUCUUAAUUUAUUUGCUAUUUCAUUGAGUUUUAAUUUGUUUUUAACGACAACAUUAGGAUGAUAAUGAAUUUAUAAUUGUUUAAUAAAUAUUUGAGGUAACAAUCGAUUAACAUUAAUUUAUUAAAUACAGAUAUUGUAAAGAAAAAUAUAGUAUUGUGGUAUGAAUCACAGGACAACGUGUAGAAAGUGUGUAGUGUUCUAAUAUCAAAAAUGGAGCCUUCAUACAACCUGAAAGAUGUGGAAAAAUGUUUCAGACCCUAUAAUUAUUAUGUUUUAUCUGAUGAAGAAGAGGUUUCGAACAUACACGUAAAUAAAAAUAAGGGGACCAGUCGUUUAGAUGACUUUUUUAUUCAAGAACCAGACCGAAAGAAGAAAAAAGCUAGACUUUCUUCAACUGUUGGCCGUGCAGGAAAGGAGGGGAACAUUCAAUAUAUAUCAACAGACAAAGAUGAUGGAAUGGACGCUGACAUACUUGUGAAAAUCGACUUGUAUAGUUUAAAAAAGUUAAAAGAAAUCCCGGUCUCACAACAUUGGAAAAAUGCAGAUAUUCGUGUUAAAUAUUACAUGAAAAACGAUUCCAACAUUGAUCUUCAGAUAAAAGACGUAGUAUAUAACAUAACAAAGGAAAUAUCCGAGGAAGAUAAUGUAAAACAUUAUAGUUUUAAAAAUUAGGUUCCUUUAGUAUCUUUACGUGAUGACCUUAUUAGUAAUUAAUUAACUUACUAUCAAAUUCUAAUACCAUACGUUAUAUAAUUAAGUAAUGUUUCAGUUGUCCUCUAGUAUAAAUAUUAUGUUGCAUUGUACAAAGUCAAUCAUUGUGAAUUGUGUUGAAGACCUUUGCGCAUUAAGGUAAAAAGUGUGUUACGAAAUAAAUAGUUGUGAAACGAAUAUAUAUAUUUACAAUGUCUCAAGAAUGUGUUAGUGUCUUUUUUGAAGAAAUGGAUCAUGAAUUUGAAAACAUUGAUACAAUUGAACUUUUUAAUGUUUGUGAUGAAAUAGAAAGAGGUGAUUUAAAUAACUCAUUUUAUGAUCAAAGAAUGAUGGAGCUAUGUGAGGAAUUCGAAAGAAAACUGGUUGAUCAAAUGGGUUGCGGAACCAAAAGGAAAGCAGAUGUUGAUAUUAACUCUGUUGAUAUCAAAAGAAUAAAAUCUGGACCUACCAUGGAUUUUUCACGGUCUUCACAAGAGCCAUCAACAUCGAAUGAAGGUAAUAAUUCUAACACGAAAUUUUGUUGUAUUUGUAAUACAAAUUUUUCCAAAAAAUAUUUCGCUAGUCAUCUAAGGAGCAAUGCACACAAAAAUAAUGUAGAUAAAAUACAACAUUCGAUAAAACCCAAUGUUAAGAUAAUUGAGACUGCGUUCGGUAAUAGAAUAAUAAC
This is a long non-coding RNA of Pieris rapae (cabbage white), 1685 nucleotides long. RefSeq lists it as uncharacterized. The record is from RefSeq and is a predicted model, not a curated record. The transcript is spliced from 3 exons. Lineage: Eukaryota; Metazoa; Arthropoda; Insecta; Lepidoptera; Pieridae.